Etheostoma spectabile (orangethroat darter) is the source of this 115-nucleotide long non-coding RNA. RefSeq lists it as uncharacterized. The transcript is spliced from 3 exons. Lineage: Eukaryota; Metazoa; Chordata; Actinopteri; Perciformes; Percidae. The record is from RefSeq and is a predicted model, not a curated record.
CUAAACUUAGCUAACGGUUAACGUUAGCUGUCUCUUACCUGGAGACUCAAUCAGGUGGCUAAGAUUAACAAAAGAUUUUGGGAAACGACGCCUCUAGUCGUUCCGGGUGGGUUGU